This 389-nucleotide ribosomal RNA is filed under the name uncultured bacterium. RNAcentral's name for it is "bacterial SSU rRNA". It matches the Rfam family "Bacterial small subunit ribosomal RNA", at positions 28 to 417 of the family's 1533-position model. The record is from RNAcentral.
GAUAAACGCUGGCGGCGUGCAUGAGACAUGCAAGUCGAACGGACGUUCAGGGCUUGCUCUGAACGUUAGUGGCGGACGGCUGAGUAACGCGUAGGUGACCUGCCCCGAAGUGGGGAAUAACUGCCCGAAAGGGUAGGCUAAUACCGCAUGUGGUGGUGCCUUCAUGGGCACCAGUAAAGCCGCAAGGCGCUUCGGGAGGGGCCUGCGUCCGAUUAGCUCGUUGGUGGGGUAACGGCNCACCAAGGCGACGAUCGGUAGGUGGUCUGAGAGGACGAUCACCCAGACUGGGACUGAGACACGGCCCAGACUCCUACGGGAGGCAGCAGUCGGGAAUUUUGCGCAAUGGACGAAAGUCUGACGCAGCAACGCCGCGUGAGGGAUGACGGCCU